RNAcentral lists this ribosomal RNA (459 nucleotides) under uncultured bacterium. RNAcentral's name for it is "partial 16S ribosomal RNA". It matches the Rfam family "Bacterial small subunit ribosomal RNA", at positions 338 to 795 of the family's 1533-position model. The record is from RNAcentral.
CCUACGGGAGGCAGCAGUGAGGAAUAUUGGUCAAUGGCCGGAAGGCUGAACCAGCCAUGCCGCGUGAAGGUCAGUGCCCUAUGGGCGUUAAACUUCUUUUGUGCGGGAGCAAUAAUGGUCACGUGUGGCCAGACGAGAGUACCGUACGAAUAAGCAUCGGCUAACUCCGUGCCAGCAGCCGCGGUAAUACGGGGGAUGCAAGCGUUAUCCGGAUUUAUUGGGUGUAAAGGGAGCGCAGGCGGCACGGCAAGCCUGAUGUGAAAGCACGGGGCCCAACCGCGGGACUGCAUUGGGAACUAACGGGCUGGAGUGGCGGAGAGGUAGGCGGAAUGCCUGGUGUAGCGGUGAAAUGCGUAGAUAUUACGAGGAACACCAGUGGCGAAGGCGGCCUACUGGACGGUGACUGACGCUGAGGCUCGAAAGCGUGGGGAGCAAACAGGAUUAGAUACCCGAGUAGUC